GGUGAAUUGACAAUCAAAAGUACAAUUUUUGGGGACAAAAUGAUUAAUAAGAUUAUUCACUGAAGUGAGAAUUAUUGGAAAUUCAAAGUGAAUUUUAGAUUAAAGACCAAAAUAACCAAGCAUUUUUCCAGUUUUACUACUUGGCCUUCAAUUUGAAAUUCACUUUGAAUGCCUGAUAAUUCUUUAGUGAAUAAUGCUGUUAAAUGGAUUUACAGCAGAUUAGAGAAGAUUUAUAUUCUAUUUUAUGUUUUGGGUGUACAUUUGCUUCUUAAAACCUGAAUUCUGAAUUGCUGGAUAGAGACAUUCAAAAGGCAAAGUAACAUAUUAAAGAAAAACUCUCUGUGGUGUAUAGGACAGCAGCCAA
This is a non-coding RNA of Pelobates cultripes (western spadefoot toad), 364 nucleotides long. Lineage: Eukaryota; Metazoa; Chordata; Amphibia; Anura; Pelobatidae. The record is from the annotation of a GenBank genome assembly.